GACGAACGCUGGCGGCGUGCUUAACACAUGCAAGUCGAACGGAAAGGCCCUUCGGGGUACUCGAGUGGCGAACGGGUGAGUAACACGUGGGUGAUCUGCCCUGCACUUUGGGAUAAGCCUGGGAAACUGGGUCUAAUACCGAAUAGGACCACGCGCUUCAUGGUGUGUGGUGGAAAGCUUUUGCGGUGUGGGAUGGGCCCGCGGCCUAUCAGCUUGUUGGUGGGGUAAUGGCCUACCAAGGCGACGACGGGUAGCCGGCCUGAGAGGGUGACCGGCCACACUGGGACUGAGAUACGGCACAAACUCCUACGGGAGGCAGCAGUGGGGAAUAUUGCACAAUGGGCGCAAGCCUGAUGCAGCGACGCCGCGUGAGGGAUGACGGCCUUCGGGUUGUAAACCUCUUUCAAUAGGGACGAAGCGCAAGUGACGGUACCUAUAGAAGAAGCACCGGCCAACUACGUG
RNAcentral lists this ribosomal RNA (462 nucleotides) under uncultured bacterium. Its description in RNAcentral is "partial 16S ribosomal RNA". It matches the Rfam family "Bacterial small subunit ribosomal RNA", at positions 28 to 507 of the family's 1533-position model. The record is from RNAcentral.